Molecule: ribosomal RNA, 579 nt
Filed under: Hortaea werneckii
Lineage: Eukaryota; Fungi; Ascomycota; Dothideomycetes; Mycosphaerellales; Teratosphaeriaceae
Description: eukaryotic LSU rRNA
Rfam family: Eukaryotic large subunit ribosomal RNA
Source: RNAcentral
UAGCGGAGGAAAAGAAACCAACAGGGAUUGCCCUAGUAACGGCGAGUGAAGCGGCAACAGCUCAAAUUUGAAAUCUGGCGCAAGCCCGAGUUGUAAUUUGUAGAGGAUGCUUCUGGGCAGCGGCCGGUCUAAGUUCCUUGGAACAGGACGUCAUAGAGGGUGAGAAUCCCGUAUGCGACCGGCUUGCACCCGUCACGUAGCUCCUUCGACGAGUCGAGUUGUUUGGGAAUGCAGCUCUAAAUGGGAGGUAAAUUUCUUCUAAGGCUAAAUACCGGCCAGAGACCGAUAGCGCACAAGUAGAGUGAUCGAAAGAUGAAAAGCACUUUGGAAAGAGAGUUAAAAAGCACGUGAAAUUGUUGAAAGGGAAGCUCACGCAACCAGACUUGUCGGCGGUGUUCCGCCGGUCUUCUGACCGGUCUAUUCGCCGCCGGCAGGCCAGCAUCACUUGGGAGCGCCGGAUAAAGGCGUGCGGAAUGUAGCCCCUCGGGGCAUUAUAGCCGCGCGCACAAUACGGCGCCUCCCGAGUGAGGUCCGCGCUUCGGCUAGGAUGCUGGCGUAAUGGUUGCUUGAGGCCCGUCU